GUACCUGUUGUGUGGUUUAUCAUUACUAAAAACUACUUUCUGGAAUAGGGUAGGUUGCUUAUGUUUGGUAUUUUGAUGAGCAGGUAUAUUGGUCAUGGUCUUUCUAGACUAGUUCUAAUUUUUACUACUUCUUUGAGAGGUGUCCUCAUCCUUGUCUCCACCGUAUCUGGUAAUUUCGGUUACUGUUCUCUGCAUCUUCGCUGUAACAUGUCUGCUCCUGAAAAAUCAGAGCCGAGAGAGAGAAGCUAAGUUAUAUUUAGAGCAGAAGAGGAAAUAUGUGAGGGAGACUAAGGGGAAUUCCUUUAGAAGAGUGUAAUCACUGAAAACUCUCUCGCCCAUAAUCUCUCUCAUACACCCAUGAACAUACAUCCCCCUUCUUACUCACACACACAAACACCCCCACACACACACGCACACACACACGUGGUGAUCUUGUGAAGUCUAUGCAGCAUUGCAUUGCCUGACCCAGUGCCUGGUGGAGCAGAACUUCCCAGCCAUUGCCCUCCACUGAGGAAUGCCCCAGAAGGAGAGGCUUUCUCGGUAUCAGCAGUUUAAAGAUUUUCAAUGAUGAAUUCUUGUGGCUACCAACCUAUUCAGCUGAGGCAUGGACAUGGAGCAGGUGAACAUUGCCUUUAACUGUGACAGCCUGAGGAUUCUGACACCCACCUGCAUCGGGUGGCCAGAGCAGGCCAGUUUGGCCCCUAAGGCUCGGCCAUCACAUUUGUGUCACAUGAGAAUGAUGCCAAGAUCCUCAAUGAUGUGCAGGAUCGCUUUGAGGUCAAUACUAGUGAGCUGCCUGAGGAGAUAGACAUCUCCUACAUUGAACAGACGUGGUAGAGGACUUCCCCACCCAUUCUGGAAUGUGACAGCUGUCCCUCUUCAGGAGAUAACACCAUGAGUCGGACCAAAGGAGACACUCUGGCCACGUAGCCCUGACAACCCCCAACCCCCAUCUCUUGGCUUCCCUCUUUUGCGUCACCACCACUCCUAAACCUCCGUUUCCUGAUUUGUCAGAACGUCUUUUCAACAAAACUAAAAAACA
Molecule: long non-coding RNA, 1042 nt
Organism: Equus quagga
Lineage: Eukaryota; Metazoa; Chordata; Mammalia; Perissodactyla; Equidae
Exons: 4
Source: RefSeq, a predicted model, not a curated record